UCCAACAGCUGAGGGAGCGAAAGGUCCCGCCUUUUGGUAUACUAGCAACAGACUUUGGGUACGCAAAAGCAUAUCUGUAACUCCACCUGGGACAUAUGGGUUCCCCCUAAGGGUGUGGGAGGUAUGGGUUCCCGAACAAGGUUCAGGAAUGGUUCUAGGAUCUUACUCUAGGGGUAAAGCACCGGAUCAACAACAGUUGUCUGUGCCGAUUGGUCGAUUUAGAGACCAAGAAGAUGGACACAGAGCUAAUGAAGGCGAUCAUUGAGAGGUGGUGGCCGAGUACGCAUUCUUUCAAUCUUCCCGUAGGUAAGAUCACCAUCAGCCCUUUGUGCUUUUAUGCCCUGACUGGAGUCCCAUUUAGAGAGAGACUCGUUACCAUACCCGACCCCCUGGAUUCAAAUGGUUUUAUGAGUUGACUGAUGUUUAGACUACCCAUAAGAUGAUUCCCUUAGCAGACAUCUAUGAUGCUUGGUGGGUUGUCUCCUAUAAAGUUCUAGACCCUAUCCAGUUAUACCGCUCCUUCCUCCUAUUGGCAAUGGGGCAAUGCCUGUUCAGCAACUUCAGGGGCAUGAUCGAUAUUUGCUUAGCGUUUCUGUUCGCCAACAUAGAGGAGAUUGAGUACUAUGAGUACGGAGGAGUAGCAUAUGCAUAUCUGUUGUGGACACUGGAUCACUUGGCUAUGGGGAUCGUCGUCUCUGUGGCACUGCUUACAUCAUCCAGCUGGCACAUGAUGGAGGGAUACCUAUGUAUUGAAGGGGCGAUCCAUCAUUCCCAUGGGAUCCACUACCUGCUCUCUUCUGAAUAGUGUAGUAGAGGAAAGUCUUGUUCACUCUUCUAGUUUUAUCAUCUUCUUUGCACUAUAUUCACAUUCUUGCUUAUGCAGGUCGACUGGAGGCCCUUUUUGAGGACUGAGUAUCCUGAUGCUGUGCAACUAGAUCGAGCUAUAGCCUAGACUCGAAUGAGAGUGCUAUUUCGAGGUCUCAAGGGUCGGGCCUGGUACUUGGGGGAGUGGUUCACUGCCCAGUGGCUGAAUGUCGGGCGAUGCAUCAUUCCUUGCCUUCCUCCUCCUACCAUGCAUCAUCUGGAGGACAUUACCAAUGGUGAGGCUAAGUAGUUAGCAGAGGGAUUUUGGGAUGAUGACUUCCUAGACAUGGAGGGAGACGGUCUAUGUCCCUCUGGCUUCUCAAAGUACCGUGUAUCGGACAUGCCCUAUGGUUCCUCUGCCCUCUCAGCCAUUGCCGGGCACAACCAGGACCUCUAUUGCCGAGUCAUCAUCUGCCACGGGUAGGCCUUCACAUCAUAUGGCUACCUUGCCAUUCCUAGGGUUUCCAAGUUGGUUCUAUGCUGAUGGGGCCAACCCUGCAAUUUUGAGAGUGCUGGAAAUGACCUUGGAGCACGACGCAUCUCUCAGACUCCCCAUCCAUUACAACUGUAGACUUAUGAUGAGAUCCACCAUAUGGACCAAGGAGGCAUAUGUGGCCGAGCUACAAAGGGAGGUGAUAGAUCAAUGGAUUCAGUUAGGCGUGGAGGUGACUGACGAUGUGAUGGUUGAGGUGGACAACCUUGAUACCUCUGAUGAUGACGCCCAGUCUUAGGGCUCCCUUCCUUUCCUCUUCAUACAUACUUUGCGAACCACAGCGACUCGAAAACACUGGAUUAGUAAUUUGGGAAUUUUUUGUUUUCUUCUCUCUUUUUUUCUUCUUCUUUGUUGUCAAACUUCUUACUUGAAUAUGAAUGUGAAUUUAAU
Molecule: RNA transcript, 1747 nt
Organism: Macadamia integrifolia
Lineage: Eukaryota; Viridiplantae; Streptophyta; Magnoliopsida; Proteales; Proteaceae
Exons: 6
Source: RefSeq, a predicted model, not a curated record